UUGAUCGCUAACCCUGGAGUGGACCCUUUAAAUGCAAAUGAACCGCCCUCUCGCUUUUGCCCCCCCACCCCCACCCCAUCUUCGCUCCUCGUGCCCAGACUCCGCCAGCUGCCAUUGACGUCACGCGUGCGUCAGCGUCGCCAGCCCAACCAGACGGCACGUGGGGGGAAGAAGGUGGCCUUAAAGGGCCAGACGCUCUCGGACUGCCGGGUUAGUGCUGUGAGAUUUGGCCUUGAAAAAGAGGAAUGAAAUGGGAGGUGGGGAACUCUGUUGGAACAGAAAGAAAUGCAGGAUAGACGUUAGGAAGGACUUCCCAGAGUAGGACGGACAGGCCUUUCCUCUAGAUUCCCCAGAAGUUUGGGUAUUUGCUUCUGGGAGAGAAACCCGGGAGGAGCAGAACAACUCUGAGGGUAAAGGAAACUUGGCAUUUACGACUCGCGCACUUAUAAUUUCGGCCUUUCCUCUAUCCCUGCCCAGCAUGUCCACAGCGCAAGGACUUCGGUCACUUCGGGAUCCUCAGCACCAACAACAAGGGCGUAGUAGAUACUCAAUUUAAGUAUUUGUAGAAUGAAUUGAGUAGGAUGCAAAGCCACCUCUUUUAGGAGGCUUUCCCUGAUUGCCCCACCCAGCCACGCGUAGCACAUACCCGAAGCUAAAGGCAAUCUCACUCUCUUUUGAACACCCACGGCGUUAAUGAAUUUACAUCUUCCUUCCAGGCAUUAGCGACCACAAGGGCAGUGGUUAGGAGCCCGAACUUGGAAUCACAUAAACGUAGGUUCCAGUUCCAUUUAUAUAGUUUACAAGCUGAGUGACUUUGGACAAAUCUCUUCAUCUUGGUUCUAAUAACUGUCAAAUGGGGCUAAUGCCACUUAGACCACAGAUUUGUUAUGAGGAUUAAAUGGGACAAUUUUUGUGAAGUUCCUAUAUGGUAUCUAAUGCAUAGUAAGCACUCAAUAAUGGUGGAGAGCAGGUUUUAAGAUGGCCAUCUCCCCCACUAAACUUCAAGCCUCUUGAGAGCAAGGAGCUUGCCAUACUAAUUUAUUCCCAGCACCAACACAAUGCAAGGCUUACAGUUUGUGCUUUUAAAAUGUUUGUUGAAUGAAUAAACAUGAAUGAAUGAGUAUUUCAGUAUUUCCUGAAAUCUGACCUCCAAACCCACCCCUGAAGUUGUUACCAAAGAGAGAAAACAUUACAAGUGCCCCCUCUGGCCCCAGGUUUUAAGCUCUGUGGUAGAGCCUCAAGGUAGAGUUGGGGUGAGGCCCUAAUCUCUGUGGUUGAACCAAAAGUAUUAUGCAAACAAGCCUCAAAUGAUUGGUCUGCAAUGGAGACCUGAAGGGGCCCUCCCCACCUCUCCCCAUCCCCAGCUGCUAGAACCCUGUCCCAGCAAACCCAGGCUGGGCAUCUGCCAGGAACACAGGACACUAGGGAGCUAGAAGAGAGCUUCUUGCCCCUUCAGAGUUUCUCAGCCCCAACACUAAUCCAUCUUUGGCCUUUUCUUCCCUGGAGCCUAGUCUGUCCCCCCAUCAAUUCGUCUCCCCAGCUCUGCCUCCCAUCCCCCAUUCCAACCCUCAUUCCCUCCACAGUUUUCCAACAGUUAUAGUGGAGGGCGAGGGGGACGCAAGACCUCCUAUCACCUGAUUCCAGCUCCUUGGCCAGAGGAGCAGUAGCCACCUCGUCCUGGUUCAGCCUGUCUUGAAGCUGCUUAUCGAUCUGAUUUUCAAUAUCUGUCACCAUCUCUGAAGUAGAAGGGCUGACAGACAACAGAAGGGACUUCCUGCCAGGGGAGGAGCUAUGAGCAGAAGGCAGUGAGACCCCUCUCCUUCCUUGAAGACCAGGAAGAUGUGCAUCCCUCCAACCCUGCCGUGCCUGGGCUCCACCCGGUCUCCCUUUACUCAAAGUAUUUCCUCUCAGCCAUCUCUUUGCUGACUGCUCCCUAGUCCUGGUUCUUAACCCACAGAUAUUUAAAGUGGAAAUGAGAGAACUGAAGUUCUGGAAAGGUGAGAAUCAAGUCUACAGCCCAUUCGUUCAGCAACUUCCUGUUUCCACCCCGUGAAGUUCAGCAGCGCAGCAGCGCAGAGGGAAUUUGCACAGAUGGUUGUGGUGGCAUGGCCCCCGAUCUGUGAGGAAUUCUGGAGUUCUGGAGAAUAGAAGGGGAGCCAAAGACUGGAGGUGAAAAUAGGAGCUUCCAAUCUUUAGGGAAGGACUUCCUUGGUGGUCCAGUGGUUAAGACUCCGUGCUCCCACUGCAGGGGGCGCAGGUUUGAUCCCUGGUUGGGGAACUAAGACCCCACAUGCCUCACAGCCAAAAUAAAUAAAUAAUAAUAAUAAGGAGGAGGGAAAGAGAACCCCCACCACCAUUUUGGUAGGUGAGAGAGGAAAGCAGGGGUCAUCAGGAGCUAGCUGGGGUUUGCUAAUCCCUGACCACUCAAGUGGGCAUAGGCAUCACCUGGGAGACGGUAAGAACUGCUGAGAAUCUCGACCCACUCCAGACCUACUCAUCACAACUUACAUUUUUUUUUUUAACCUUUUUUUUUUUGGCCCCGCUGUGCAGCAU
Aethalodelphis obliquidens (Pacific white-sided dolphin) is the source of this 2553-nucleotide long non-coding RNA. RefSeq lists it as uncharacterized. Lineage: Eukaryota; Metazoa; Chordata; Mammalia; Artiodactyla; Delphinidae. The record is from RefSeq and is a predicted model, not a curated record. The transcript is spliced from 3 exons.